This 497-nucleotide ribosomal RNA is filed under the name Pyrochroidae sp. UPOL ZL0165. RNAcentral's name for it is "partial 16S ribosomal RNA". The stretch from base 371 to 497 matches the Rfam family "Bacterial large subunit ribosomal RNA", at positions 2473 to 2600 of the family's 2925-position model. The record is from RNAcentral. Lineage: Eukaryota; Metazoa; Arthropoda; Insecta; Coleoptera; Pyrochroidae.
UUUAAAGUCUGACCUGCUCAAUGAAUUUAGUUUAAAUAGCCGCAGUAUUUUGACUGUGCAAAGGUAGCAUAAUCAUUAGUUUUUUAAUUAAAAGCUGGAAUGAAGGGUUUGAUAAAAAAAUAACUGUCUCAAUAUUAUUGAAUUAGAAAUUUAUUUUUAAGUAAAAAAGCUUAAAUUUUUUAAAAAGACGAGAAGACCCUAUAGAGUUUAAUAUAAAAUUUAAUUAUGUUUUUUAGAAUUUAAUAAGUUAAUUAAUAAUUUAUAUUUUAUUGGGGUGAUAAAAAAAUUUAAUAAACUUUUAUAAAAAAAAAAUAUUAAUGAAUAAUUAAAUGAUCCUAAAUUUUAGAUUAUAAGAAAUAAUUACCUUAGGGAUAACAGCGUAAUUUUUUUAAAGAGUUCAAAUCGAAAAAAGAGAUUGCGACCUCGAUGUUGGAUUAAAGAAAAUUUUUAAUGUAGAAGUUAAAAUUAUAGGUCUGUUCGACCUUUAAAUCUUUACA